GAAUCAGCAGUAACAUAUUACAUCGAUCCUUAUGGGACACAUGGGUUGGAUUUACAAAUUAAUCAUGUAUAUUCUUAAACAUCUUGGAUAUAAAUAUUCACUGAUUUAAAAAAAUAAUGUUUUCUCUUUGUCAUAUUUGAGCUCAUUGGAACUGUAUCCAUUUUACUGGGAGCAACUCAACAUGGAAAAUCAACUUCUCAUUUAAGCCGUAAAGGAGUUCAUUGUUAUCAUGCAUACUUUCAGUUUGAUAAUAUAGCAAUUUUCUCUAAUUUCAUCCAUGUUAAGUGGUUUAUUAAGCAUGUGUUAUUCUGAAAGUAGAUGAAGGAGUAAUAAAUAGAAGCAUCCGCUUCCCCCAAGUUUAGAAACAAUUUAGAAAUAAGACAAAAAUAUUAACAAGCAAACAACCAAAAUUUUAUCAUUUCUACUAACGCGUAUGUGUGGCAACGAGCCCAGGAUCCCUAGCUUCACCCUAUUUAUAGUA
RNAcentral lists this long non-coding RNA (481 nucleotides) under Bos taurus (domestic cattle). RNAcentral describes it as "long non-coding RNA NONBTAT023827". The record is from RNAcentral. Lineage: Eukaryota; Metazoa; Chordata; Mammalia; Artiodactyla; Bovidae.